AGUGAACGCUGGCGGCGUGCCUAAUACAUGCAAGUCGAGCGAACAGACGAUGAGCUUUCUCCUCUAACGUUAGCGGCGGACGGGUGAGUAACACGUGGAUAACCUACCUAUAAUACUGGGAUAACUUCGGGAAACCGGAUCUAAUACCGGAUCAUAUAUUGAACCGCAUAGUUCAAUAGUGAAACACGGUUUUGCUGUCACUUAUAGAUGGAUCCGCGCCGCAUUAGCUAGUUGGUAAGGUAACGGCUUACCAAGGCAACGAUGCGUAGCCGACCUGAGAGGGUGAUCGGCCACACUGGAACUGAGACACGGUCCAGACUCCUACGGGAGGCAGCAGUAGGGAAUCUUGCGCAAUGGGCGCAAGCCUGACGGAGCAAUGCCGCGUGAGUGAUGAAGGUCUUCGGAUUGUAAAGCUCUUUUAUUAGGGAAGAACAACUGUGGAAGUAAAUAUGCAUGUCUUGACGGUACCUAAUGAGAAAGCAACGGCUAACUACGUG
Molecule: ribosomal RNA, 497 nt
Filed under: uncultured bacterium
Lineage: Bacteria
Description: partial 16S ribosomal RNA
Rfam family: Bacterial small subunit ribosomal RNA
Source: RNAcentral